This 319-nucleotide ribosomal RNA is filed under the name uncultured bacterium. Its description in RNAcentral is "bacterial SSU rRNA". It matches the Rfam family "Bacterial small subunit ribosomal RNA", at positions 173 to 507 of the family's 1533-position model. The record is from RNAcentral.
UAAGCGCACGAGGGUCACAUGACCUGGUGUAGAAAACUCCGGUGGUAUGAGAUGGACCCGCGUCUGAUUAGCUAGGUUGGCGAGGUAACGGCCCACCAAGGCGACGAUCAGUAGCCGACCUGAGAGGGUGAUCGGCCACAUUGGGACUGAGACACGGCCCAAACUCCUACGGGGAGGCAGCAGGUGGGGAAUAUUGCACAAUGGGGGAAACCCUGAUGCAGCGACGCCGCGUGAAGGAAGAAGUAUUUCGGUAUGUAAACUUCUAUCAGCAGGGAAGAAAAUGACGGUACCUGACUAAGAAGCCCCGGCUAACUACGUG